RNAcentral lists this long non-coding RNA (27730 nucleotides) under Medicago truncatula (barrel medic). RNAcentral's name for it is "long non-coding RNA (MTRU_LNC007979)". The record is from RNAcentral. Lineage: Eukaryota; Viridiplantae; Streptophyta; Magnoliopsida; Fabales; Fabaceae.
CCCUCCCUCCCGGCCCUCUACACAUCCCCAUCAUCACAAACUUCCAAUUGCUCCAAAAAUCAAUCUCCCAACUUGAACCUUUUCUCAAAACUCUCCAUGCCAAACAUGGUCCUAUCAUCACUGUCCAUAUCGGUUCUCGACCUUCCAUUUUCAUUAACGACCAUACUCUGGCCCACCAUGUUCUCGUUCAAAACUCAUCCAUCUUCUCUGAUCGCCCUACAGCUCUUCCUACUUCCAAAAUGUUGUCCAGCAACCAACACAACAUCAACACCGCUUAUUAUGGCCCAACAUGGCGUACCCUUCGUCGUAACCUUGCUUCCGAGAUGCUUCAUCCAUCCAAACUCAAAUCGUUCUCAGAAAUUCGGAAGUGGGUCUUACGCACUCUCAUCAAUCGUCUCAAAACUGCAUCAGAAUCGGAACUAACGGAUUCUAUUAAGGUUAUGCCACACUUCAAAUAUGCUAUGUUCUCUUUACUUGUUUUUAUGUGUUUUGGUGAAAGAGUUAACGAUGAGAAAAUCAGUGAUAUUGAGCGUGUACAAAGGAAGAUUAUGUUAAAUUUUGGCAGAUUCAAUAAACUGAACUUCUGGCCGAAAGUUACAAGGAUUUUGUUGCGUAACCAAUGGGAGGAGUUUUUGAAGUUACUUAAGGAUCAAGAGGAUGUUCUGCUUCCGCUGAUAAGAGCAAGGAAGCAAGUUAAGGAGAGUAAAUUGAACAAUAUUAAUACUGUUGUUUCAUAUGCAGAUACUCUCUUAGAGUUAGAGUGGCCUGAGGAGAAACGGAAGCUGAGUGAGAAUGAAAUGGUUAAUCUUUGUUCAGAGUUUUUGAACGGUGGGACAGACACUACUUCCACUAGUUUGCAGUGGAUUAUGGCGAAUGUAGUGAAGUACCCAGAAGUGCAGGGGAGGCUUGUGGAGGAGAUUCGGGAGGUGAUGGGUGGUGAUGAAAAUGGAGAGAAGGAGGAAGUGAAAGAGGAAGACUUGCAGAAACUUCGGUAUUUGAAGUGUGUGGUUUUGGAAGGGUUGAGGCGUCAUCCACCGGGGAAAUUUCCGUUGCCACACGCGGUGAAAGAGGAUGUGGUUUUGGACGGUUAUUUGGUGCCUAAAAACGGGACGGUGAAUUUCUUGCUGGCGGAGAUGGCGUUGGAUCCUCGUGUUUGGGAGGACCCGUUGGAGUUUAAGCCAGAAAGGUUUUUGAAGGAUGAGACUUUUGACAUUACAGGAAGUAAAGAGAUAAAGAUGAUGCCGUUUGGAGCUGGAAGAAGAAUUUGUCCCGGACUUAAUUUAGCUUUGCUCCAUUUGGAAUAUUUUGUGGCUAACUUGGUUUGGAAUUUCGAUUGGAAGGUUCCAGAGGGCGGGCAUGUUGAUUUGACGGAAAUACAAGAAUUCACCAUGGUGAUGAAAAAUCCAUUGCAAGUUCAUAUUUCUCCUAGGAUAUAGAUUAUGUGUGUUAUAUGUAACGAUGUGGAGUAUGUAAUGUUGUUGUGUGAACCACCCUAGAUUCUCUGCUUGAGAAUGUCAUAACACAGCAGGGGAGUAUUAUAUGUGGAUUUGUCAUAUGGUGGGAUUUUGUUUCAUAUAAUGAUCCGUUAUGCAUAUAUAUGCCUUCACAUAUGUUAUUGUUCUUUCUUAUAUAUCUUGUUUCCUGUAUAAAUAAAAACUUUGCCUGUCAUUCUUGUAAGUCAAGAUACUUUCAUUGUAAAAAUAUAUGAUCUUUGUUGUAGUAAUAUUGAAGUUGGUUUAUUUUGUUAAUCUGUUUGGUCUUGGCGGUUAUAGAUUAUGUUUCCUCCCUAAACAUCUGUGGUCUUAAAUUAUAGGGUUGUAACUUGUAAUUUUGAGUGUGCAGAAGUGAUGCAUAGAAUAGAGUUAUGGCCAAAGUGAAAUGGUGCUUCAUGAUUUUCUUAAUAAUAAGAGAUCUACUAAAAAGUACCAUAACUAUCAACACAUUGGGAACUUGAACAGUUUCACCUUUCAUUUGAUAGGUUAAAUUGAGUUCAUACAAAUACUAAUUUCUAAUUUUUUAAUACUUACAACAAGUAUCCUAAAGAUACUCUUUAGUAUUUGACGAUUUGCCAUUCUCAAGUCUUCACUUGCAUCAGAUAUUGACUUCAUAUGCUAAUUAGAUAACACUGUUUUCAUUGAUCUUAUGGUUGUAUAGUGUGAUAUGCAAAUAUUGUGGAGGCCAAAUUGAACUUCUUAUUAGACAGGCAGAAGAUUAUAACACAGAGAAGGUUGUGGACGACUGGAGGUGACGUGACGUAUUUAAUUUACAAAUGAUUUUGAUAACGAUUGUACUUGAAACACUCUUUGAAUAUUCUAAAAUACGAAUUAUUCUUUUAGGAAAAUCGAAUAUUUUGAUUUUUAAUACAUUGAAUACACGUGUUUUCAAUACUACUUAUUAUAUAUGGUUUUUAAAGAGUGCUCCAUAAUACUAGUAAACAUUUAUCUUUUUAAAAAGUAGGAAUAAAAAAAUUGAGUAAUCAGAAAAAUUGGUGACCAAUCAUAAGUGUGAAUAAAAAUAGAGCGAAUAGAUAAAUUGAUCCUCAAAAUUAUAAAAAAUCUAUCAAAAUAGUCAUUGAUUUUUUUGCCACAAAUUCUUUCAUAACUCUUGUGGUUAUAAUUUGUAAAAAAAAAAAAACUUUUGUUGGUAUAAGGUAGGACCAGCAUUCUAUAUUGAGGCUGUAACAAAAAAACAAAACAUUCUAUAUUGAGGUGACAUUGACAAUGACGUAGGACCAACCUUCAAUUAUAUAUCACGUCACAGUAACAACAGAGAGAUCAUUUUUCAAAUGAAUGUCAUGGAAAAUUUCCAUUUCCAUUGGAAAUCAUACUAGAAAACAGAGAGAAAAUUAUUACCUGAUAGCAAUAUCACUUAGUUAGCUAUUGCUUGCUGCGCAAGUAACUGAGCUUAAUUAGGAUUAUAUUUCUCUUUAGUUUGUCCAUAGUAGUUUAUCAUGCAUUUAGAUUCUUGUAUAUAUACCGGUUGUAAGCUCUCAUUUGAUCAAUAACAAUUCAUUCUAUUCAACCCACUUAGGUUGAUUUGUUGGUAUUGGCUUGAGAUCUGGGAGUGUACUCCUCCUCCUCGAGGUCUCAGAUUCGAUUUUCUUCGGUGUCAAUUUGAAUGGGCUAAUUUAGCUUCUUCAAAAAAAAAAAUCAUUCUAUUCAUUUUACUUGGUUUCCUAAUAAAAAUAUCUCAUCUUGUAAUCGUGGUUCAAUAGAAAUUAGAAUGAAUGAAAAGACUUCAAGGAAAAUGCUCAUAUACAAGCAAUAGAAGAAAUCUGCUAUAACAUAUUCAGUUAGAGAUUACAGUUCAAAAGCUUAUCUAAUUAAUCAACUCCAAGUGUGUAACAGUUUUAGAAGAACACUUCUAUGGUCAAAACCCCAAAUAUAAUUCAUUCGCACAUUUACAAAACUUGAAAAAGGUACAAUAGAAGACAAUUGAAUAAAUCCUAAAAAAAAUUGAAUAUAUAAUGUGUAUUUUUGACAUAAUUAAAUAAAAUGUAUUGUUAUGUGUGUGUGGCCACAUAAUUUUUAUUUUGGCAUGUGAUCAUAGAAAUAUUUCUCACAAUUUUAAAUAACAUUUUACUAUUUAAGAGGUGUAUUUGUAAUACAAAAAAUAAUGAGCUAGUUUAAUAGAUUCCUACAAACCUAUCUAACUAGGACCACUCAUUUUUGUACACAAUAAGGACAGUACAGACAUAUUGUCGUGCCACAAAAGUAAUCCACUUCAGAUCAUAUAUUAUGGGUACUGUUUUGUCUAUCCAAAAAGGACAAUAUUUAAUUUUGAAAAAACAUAUUUUAUUCUUAUUAAGAAUUCUGAAAUUUUAUUUCAAAGAUUUAUAUAUAACGAUAAAGAGUGAGUAUCAUAUUAAUGUAUAGAGAAAAAACAUGUUUGAUGAACAUUUCCUUCAGAUUCAACGGGUGAAACUAUUGCAAUUUUAGCCUAUACUUUUAAUUUAAAUUAGAACCUGGCCAUUCACAUUUAACGCAUAAAUAUUGCCUUUGUUUAUGGAAUUUUUUGCUUAUCUUCUUAUUCCUAAACAAAGCUUUGUUGCUCUAACUUUAACCUAAUAUUUUAACCCUAAUAUUUUAGCAACUUUUCCCUCCUUUAAAACCUAACCAUAUUUCCUAAUUCUCCUCCUCCAAACCUUAACCAUCUAACUUCACUCCUCCUAAACCAUAUUUCCUAAUUCCCCUCCUCCAAACCCUAACCAAUAUAUUUUAAUCCUUUCUCCUAAACCGAAAUCUCUUUUUAAAACAAUACCUUUCUCUCCUCCAAACCCUCACCAAUAUAUUUUAAUCCUUUCUCCUAAACCGAAAUCUCUUUUCAACAUGGCUUCCAGAAACAUUCAGACUUUGCUGUGAUACCACUGCCUCACUGGUAACCAUAUCUUCAUUCCACUCUGGUUUAAACUAAAUAUAUAGAUUUUUGCUCUUAUUCCUCGCUGUUUUAAAGUAUAAAUCAUUCUUUAAUCCCUUUCAAUCUUUUGUAGGUCCGUUGGUGAAAAACCCUUUUUCCGAUCUUGACAAAGCAAUCAACAAGCUCAGACUGAAAUACAGAUCAUAUAUCGUUGAAUAUGACAUUGAUGUUGUAUGUGCUUUUUGCGAAAUAUACCUAUUCUUAAUUAUUUGCAUUCUAUUUUUAUCAAUGUUUGUGAUGUUUUUGUUUGUUAUUUUUUUAGGGUGCAGUAUGCUUGCUUAACAUGUUUGGCGGUGAUUUCGGAGAUCAAAUUGGGCGCUAUGCAAUAUUGACAGAUCCUAAGUCCAACAAGGUGUGAAGAUCAGAGGGGGUGCUCCGAUGGUUGGGUCACAUGAUACCAUCUACCUUGAUGUUAUUUACAAUUAGCCCAUGUUUAGAUAAAUUGUGCAAGACCUUUCCAAUUUGAAUUUUAAGUUUUAGUUUCUUAGAGUUUUGGAAGCAUCUAUUUUUUUUGUCUUUGAAUUUGGCAAAUGUCCCUUGAAUUUCAUAAAUAAUUCAGCCUUGCUUGCUUUGCUUUCGGAUUUAUAUAUUUGUGUUUGUUUUUGUGUUGCUGAAUCAAUUUAGUAGCAUGGCUGUGUUACUGAAGCAUUUUAGUAACAUUUUUAGUAACAUUAUUAGUAACAAUUACUAGAAUCAAUUUAGUAGCAUAGCUGUGUAACGUCUCCUCUUAACAUUAUUACUAACAAUUACUAAUCCUAAUCUCUAAAAUAUGUUUUGGGUGGAAACAAACUAAAAUCCUAAUCCUAAUUUCUCUCAAUCAAGUAACUAAGAGAUUUCAUCCACAUCUCUAAACUAACUUUUUGGUGGAAAGAAACUAAAAUCCUUAUUUCUAUAAUUCAAAUAAUUAGGGAAUUUCAUCCACAUCUCUAAAAUAUGUUUUGGGUGGAAACAAACUAAAAAUCCUAAUUCCAGUCAUUCAAAUAACUACUAAAGAUUUCAUCCACAUCUCUAAAAUAUGUUUUGGGUGGAAACAAACUAAAAUCCUAAUCCUAAUUUCUGUCAUUCAUGUAACUAAGAGAUUUCAUCCACAUCUCUAAACUAUGUUUUUGGUGGAAACAAACUAAAAUUCUUAUUUCUCUCAUUCAAUUAAUUAGGGGAUUUCAUCCACAUCUUUAAAAUAUGUUUUGGGUGGAAACAAACUAAAAAUCAUAAUUCCUCUCAUUCAAGUAACUACUAAAGAUUUCAUCCACAUCUCUAAAAUAUGUUUUGGGUGGAAACAAACUAAAAAUCCUAAUUCCUCUCAUUCAAGUAACUACUAAAGAUUUCAUCCACAUCUCUAAAAUAUGUUUUGGGUGGAAACAAACUUAAAUCCUAAUCCUAAUUUCUUUUUAAGUAACUAAGAUAUUUCAUCCACAUCUCUAAUCUAACUUUUUGGUGGAAACAAACUAAAAUUCUUAUUUAUCUCAUUCAAAUAAGUAGGAGAUUUCAUCCAUAUCUCUAAAAUAUGUUUUCGGUGGAAACAAACUAAAAAUUCUAAUUCUUCUCUCAUUCAAGUAACUAAGAGAUUUCAUCCACAUCUCUAAAGUAACUUUUUGGUGGAAACAAACUAAAAUCCUUAUUUCUCUCAUUCAAAUAAGUAGGGGAUUUCAUCCACAUCUCUAAAAUAUGUUUUGGGUGGAAACAAACUAAAAAUCCUAAUUCCUCUCAUUCAAGUAACUACUACACAUUUCAUCCACAUCUCUAAAAUAUGUUUUGGCGAAUCAACUAUGGUAAUUCUUAAGUCACAAAAAAUGCCAAUUCUUAAGUAAAACAAAGUGCCCCAUCAACAAUAUUAAUUUCAUUUUAUUCAUAUUAAUCUUUAUCCUAAAAUGUUGGCCACUUCCUAAUUUUGUUCCACUAUUUUGUGCUUAUCUAGAUAACUAAUACUCUUUAUAUCUCAACCGACAUAUCCUACUCACACGUAUUCCACCUUUUCCUAUAAAUAUAUCAUAACCUAUUAGCCAAACCAUCUCAAUCUAAAUAAGCAUCCUCUUUCUUGGAAAGGAAAAAACAAGCCAAUGAUGUCUGCCAAAUACACUCCAAUCUCAGCUGUUUCUGGAUGAAGAAAGAAUUUCAAGAUGUGUGUGCGAGUUGCUCACAUUUGGUUGAUUCGAGAGAAGAAGGUCCCCACUAGCAUCAUUUUCAUGAACAUGUUAGUGGUCGAUGAAAAGGUUUCUGCAUGUUUGCACUCUUAGCUUUAAAAUUAAACUAAUGUCAUUGUUGUUUUUUAGUUAUGUAAUUUAACCAGCUGUUUAAUGUUGUUGUUGUCGUCAAUAGGGUGGACGUAUUCACGCCACAUCUAGAAAAGAUUUGGUGGCAAAGUUCAGGUCCAUGGUUCAAGAAGGGGGUACAUAUCAGCUUGAAAAUGCAAUGGUAGGUUUUAAUGAAAGUCCUUAUAAGGUAACUUCACACAAACAUAAGCUUAGUAUGAUGCACAAUUCAAAUUUUACCAAAGUACACUCGCCUGCUAUCCCUAUGAACGUUUUUGAGUUCAAGCCAUUCAAUGAAAUUCUCUCUUCAACUGUCGAGGAAGUAUCUACGGAUAAGACUUCAAUUCUGAAUGUGUGUUGUACAUUAUUUCUACCUAUAAGCAUUCGUUUAGGAAUUUCAUACAUUUGUUUUUGCUUUUGUAUACGUAAUUUCAGAUGUUAUUGGUCAUGUAAUUGAAAGAGGUGAUAUAAGGGAAACUGAAAAGGACGGAAGGAAAAACAGGGUUAUUGAUCUCACUUUAGAAGAUCUUGAGUAAGAUUUGUCUCUUUCUUUGUACCUGGUUGUAAUAUAAUUUUAAUAUACCUUAUGUUCCUGAAUUGAUAUUUUGGUAAUAUUUUAUUACAGAAACAACCGCUUGCAUUGCUCUCUUUGGGGUGAACAUGCAGACAAAAUUGUGACCUUUUAUGGCAACCAUGACAACGACACACCUACUAUAUUGAUAUUGCAGUUUUGCAAGACACGCAUGUAUUUAGGUAUGUCGUGUUUUAAGUUUGUGCUUUCUGCUGAUAUCAACAAUGAAAUGUGAAAUUAUGUUCACUUGCAAUUGAUUUUUAAAAAAUUAGGUGCUAUGGGAGUUGCUAAUGCCUUUAAUGGGACUAAGCUGAUACUUAAUGGCGAUUUUCCUGAUGUCGCUGUGUACAUGACACAGUAACCAUUUACAUUUUUAUAUGCUUUAGAAUAAAGGCAAGUUUUUUUGGUCGUAAUUAAGUUGUCUGGAGGUCUCACCACUCUUCUAUUAACAUUGGUGCCCUUUUAUUAGAAUGAAAAAUGCAUCAAUACAGUUCACCCGAAGUGUCAGCCAAAUUUCAACGAAUAGCUCAGCGUCUUUAUCAGAUGACUUGCUCAACACUAAUCGAAUGACAAUUGAAAGCAUGAUUGAGUCAACUGAGGUAGCUAUCUGUUUAUUGAAAUUUUUAGAUGUCGUUUUGGAUUCAUCUUUGUUAUUUUUCACAUGGACAGUUGUACAUGGCAAUAUCACGGGUUACUUCGAGGGGUGGUUUAAAGAUAUUGAUUAAUGACGACGACGGCGAUGAUACCGAUGUUGCAAGUGUGGUCUACAGAAAAGUUUUCCGUAAUGUGUAGGACUUUUUUGUGUACUAUUCAUUUUCUUACUUAUUGAAACUAUUUGCAUAUCAACGAACUUCAGUUUCCCUUUUAAAAUUAUAUGUUUUGUUAAAGUAAUAGGAACUACGUACUAGAAUUAUGGAACAAUAACAAAGUCUAUGGUAAUUGACAUUUUGCUUUGAUUCACGAUAAUUUUUUCAUUCAAGCGAACUACAGUGUCUUAUUUUUUCAGUGAGUAUUAAUUUUUUUAAAUGACACGUGCGUUAACACGGGUCAAUGGUCUAGUAUGGUGUAAUCAGCAUUUAUAUUUUGUGUAGUAGUGAAUGAAUGGAUUGUCACUAAAAAACUUGGAAAUGCUCUUAAGGGAGGGAGGGAGAGAUGUGAUAAGAGGAGUAUUAAUUUUAUUAUUAAAAUCAACUCAAAUAAAUAUUUUGUUAAAACGGAGCAUAUCACAUAUGCCACAAUUAAGACGAGACAGAUAAUAUUUUUAAUUGUUAAUUAAAAUUAGCAUUUGACAGGACAUUAAUUAAAAUGAUUAAUUGCGUAAACAAAAUGCAUAAAAUUACCCUUCAUCACAAAUUAUAAGUCAUUUUGAAGAAAAAAAUUAUCCCAAAGUAUAAACCAUUUUAUAAUACAAAUGAAACAUUAAUGAUUAUUUUUUUAUUAUACCAUUGACUAUUUAAUACUCUUUUAUAAAAGAUAAUUUUGUAAAACUACUUAUAAUUUCAUUUUUCCCGUAUAAAAUUGAUUACAUGUCUUAAAUCAUAAAAGUACAAAGGGUUUGUUGCUAAUGGCACUUCCUCCAUCCAAACCAAUUUUGGUUAAGUAUGGGCUAGUUGGGCCAGAUUAUGUGCAAUCUUGUUUCGUGAUCUAGGGGUAAAAUUAAAGGACAUGUGUCAAAAGAGGAUUGCUCCUUACGGAUUUGUUUUUGGAUAAUGUACCCAAGAUAAGAUGUAUUUAUCACACUUUCCUCUUUCACUUUGCAAAUCAAAAUUUUACUAUCCUGGAUAAUGGUAGAAACUAUUUAUAAUUUGGGACGGAGGUAAUACUGUUUUGAAAUUAAAAUAAUCAAGGGUCAUAAGUAUAUAACCAUUUUCCUUAAAAAAAAAAAAAAAACUUCACCUUAAAUGAAAUGAGGAAUGCUAACAACAUAUUUUUUAACACAUACUUUUCAACACACCUUCUUGAUUGGUUAAAACUCACAUAGUCCAACCAAAUUUAUAUGGGACUCAUAUGAUUAGAUGGGAAUCAUGUGAAUUUUAACCGAUCGAAGAAAGUGUGUUGUUGAAAAAUGUGUUUUAAAAUAUGUGUUGCUAGUUUUUCUUUAAAUGAAAUUUGUUUGUAUGAGAAGGAGAGACAUAAUACCACAUCCAUAAUAAUAACAACAAUAUCAUAUGAUUUCCCUAAAAAAGUAAAAAAUAAUAUCAUAUGAUUUGUUUAUAUAAAUGCUCCUCAUUCUCAUUUUUUGUGUCACAGAUAUAUCCAUCCCCACAAAAGAGUAAAGUUGCACCAAACUUUUACACAAUGGAAACAUGGUUCAUUGUCCUCAUUACUCUCUGCAUCAUCUUCCUCAUCGGAGUCAUUCUUGCCUCCUUCACAACCACCGUACCCUUCCCUCCUGGCCCUCCACACAUCCCCAUCCUCACAAACAUUCAGUUGCUCCGAAAACCAUCCUCCCAACUUGAACCUUUUCUCAAAACUCUCCAUGCCAAACAUGGUCCUAUCAUCACUCUCCACAUCGGUUCUCGACCUUCCAUUUUCAUCGAUGACCAUGCUCUGGCCCACCAUGUUCUCGUUCAAAACUCAGACAUCUACUCUGAUCGCCCUAAAGCUUUUCCUACUUCCAAAAUGUUGUCCAGCAACCAACACAACAUCAGCUCCGGUUUUUAUGGCCCAACAUGGCGUACCCUCCGUCGUAACCUUGCUUCCGAGAUACUUCAUCCUUCCAAAACCAAAUCGUUCUCAGAAAUUCGGAAGUGGGUGUUACACACUCUCAUCAACCGUCUCAAAACCGCAUCGGAAUCUGCAGAUUCUGUCACGGUUGUUUCUCCCUUUCGUUAUGCUAUGUUUAGCUUACUUGUUUUUAUGUGUUUUGGUGAAAGAGUUAACGAUGAGAAUAUCAGUGAUAUUGAGCGUGUGCAAAUGACAAUUAUGUUAAAUAUCGGCAGAUUCAAUAUACUGAAUUUCUGGCCGAAAGUUACAAGGAUUUUGUUGCGUAACCGAUGGAAGGAGUUUUUGAAGUUACUUAAGGAUCAAGAGGAUGUUCUACUUCCGCUGAUAAGAGCGAGGAAACAAGUUAAGGAGAGUAAAUUGAACAAUGUUAAUACUGUUGUUUCGUAUGCAGAUACUCUUCUAGAGUUGGAGUUGCCCGAGGAGAAACGAAAGUUGAGUGAGAAUGAAAUGGUUAAUCUUUGUUCAGAGUUUCUGAAUGGUGGGACGGAUACUACUUCCACUACUUUGCAAUGGAUUAUGGCGAAUUUGGUUAAGUACCCAGAAGUGCAGAGGAGGCUUGUGGAGGAGAUUCGGGAGGUGAUGGGUGGUGAUGAGAAUGGAGAGAAGGAGGAAGUGAAAGAGGAAGAAUUGCAGAAACUUCGGUAUUUGAAAUGUGUUGUUUUGGAAGGGUUGAGGCGUCAUCCACCGGGGCAUUUUCUGUUGCCACACGCGGUGAAAGAGGAUGUGGUUUUGAACGGUUAUUUGGUGCCUAAAAAUGGGACGGUGAAUUUCAUGCUGGCGGAGAUGGGGUGGGAUCCUCGUGUUUGGGAGGAUCCAAUGGAGUUUAAGCCAGAAAGGUUUUGGAAGGAUGAGAAUUUUGACAUUACAGGGAGUAAGGAGAUAAAGAUGAUGCCGUUUGAAGCUGAAAGGAGAAUUUGUCCUGCACUUAAUUUAGCUUUGCUCCAUUUAGAAUAUUUUGUGGCUAAUUUGGUUUGGAAUUUCGAUUGGAAGCUUCCAGAGGGCGGCUAUGUUGAUUUGUCGGAAAAACAAGAAUUCAAUAUGGUGAUGAAAAAUCCAUUGCAAGUUCAUAUUUCUCCUAGGAUAUAGAUUAUGUUUUUUAUGUGUAAUGAUAAAUCGUAUGUUCCUGUGUGAACCACUCUAGAUUCUCUGCUUGAGAAUGUCAUAACACAGCAAAGAAAUAUUAUAUGUGGAUUUUGGCUGUUUUUUCCGCGUUUGCGGCCCCUUGUAUUGUUGUUUUAGCGUUCUUUGGUGCUUUUUGCACCUAGUUCAGCUUAAUAAUAUUUGCAGUUUAAAAAAAAUAUACGUGGAUUUGUCACAUUGUGGUAUUUUGUUUGAUACAAUUAUCCCUUAUGCGCAUACAUAUAUGCCUUUAAUAUCAUAAUUGUUCAUUCUUAUAUAUCUUGUUUCUUGUAUAAAAUAAAACAUGCAUGGUCCCCGUGAGCUUAGCUCAGUUGGCAGGGACAAUGUAUUAUUAUAUGUAGGGGUCGGGGUUCGAACCCCGGACACCCCACUUAUUUACUUUAAAAGUGAAUUUCUAACCACUAGGCUACCUGACCAAAAAAAAAAAAACAUGCAUGGACUUCCUGUAAGUCGAGAUACUUUCACCAAAAGUGAUGCAUAGAAUAGAGUUAUGGCCAAAGUGAAAUGGUGCUUCAUGAUUUUCUUAAUAACAAGAUCCACAGAUGUAUAUAGCUUGUUUCUCGACCUGAGUUAAUCAUCAUCAAUUUCUGUAUCAACAAUCUUCUACUUCUAUUUGAAAUAGUAACAUGUGUUCCUCUCAACAGGUCUAUUAAUAAGUACCAUAACACAACAAUCAACACAUUGGGAACUUGAACAAUUUCACCUUUCAUUUGAUAGGUUAAAUUGAGUUCGUACAAACAGUAGAUUAUAUAGUUAUAGCAUGAAAUUGAUAAAUAAUAAUUAUAAUAAUUUACUCAAAAUAAUAUUAGAAAUAAUGGUCACUUACAUAAAGAAAAAAAUAAUAGAUUAAUAGUCACUUAACAACAACAACAAAAAAACAAAAAAACUUAAAAUAUCUGUUUAGGACUUUUGAAACUUAAAAAACUUAUUUGAGACUUUUAAAACUCAAAAGACCACUUUAAAAAAAACGAAAAACUUAAAGCAGAUUGACCUUUAAUAUUUUCUUACAAUUUAGAGUAAUAAUUUAAUUACACCUACCUAUCUAACUAGGACCAAAUCUUUCCAAAAAAAGAAAAAACUAACUAGGACCACUCAUUUGACAGGGAUAUUGCAUAUUAUAUGCAGGGGCCGGGGUUCAAACUCUGGACACUCCACUUCUCCACAAUUUAAUUGUGUGAGUUCUAGCCAUUAGGCUACUUAAAAAAAAAAAAAAAAAAAAAGAACAGACGUAGUGUGGUACCACAAAAGUAAUCUACUUCGGUUCAUAUAUUAUGGAUAUAGUACAGACAUAGUGUCUAACCAAAAAGGACGAUAUUUAAUUUUGAAAAAACAUUUUUUAUUCUUAUUAAGAAUUCUGAAAGAAAAAAAAAAUUAUACAUAAUGAUAAAAUUAACAUAUUAACAAUUAUAAAAUAUUCAAAUGUCUAGAUGAAAUAAAUAACUUUGUACUAUUUAGAAAGAAAUCUUUUAAAUCAAAAUGACAUUAUUUUUAGCUAUGAAAGAAAACAAUUUUUUUUAAUGAAGUUAGUUAACCACCAUUCAACGCUUAAUACAUGCUUUGAUCCCUUAACUUAUUUUUGGAUUUCAUUUUGAUCCCCUAACUAUAAAGUGUCUCAAUUUGGUCCCUUAUGUCUUCUGCCGUUACCUCUUUUGGUCCUCUCCGUUAGUUUGUUUUCAAAAAUAGUUAACCCUUGUCCACAUGUCAUUUAAGAUUGGAGAUCAAGGGCUAGAUUUGAAAAGUACACAAGUAUACAAUGGGCUCACAACAUAUAAUCAUUUCUAUUUUUCUUGAUUUCCUAAAAAUAUAAAUUUAAAAUCACCAUCAAUUUACAUCUUUUUUAAAUAAUUUGUAUCCAGAUUUUUAAAAAUUAAAAUAUUUUUCAGAAUUUUGUAGGAAAAAAAAAAUCUGACCUUUUUUAAAAAUUUCGUAAUAUUUUUUUUUUUUUCAAAUUUUGAAAAAGAUUUUAUAAAAUUCAAGAAUAACUUUUUUUUUCAUAUUUUAUAAAAAUCUGAAUUUUUUUUAUAUAUUUUUCAAAAUUAAAAUAUUUUGUAGAAAAAAUUAAAAAUAACCUUUUUUUUUCGUAAAAAAAUAUGACCUUUUUUAUAACCUUUUUAAAUUCAGAAUUCUGGAUUUUUUAAAUUAAAAUAUUUUCCAGAAUUUUGUAGAAAAAUUUGUAUCGAGAUUUAUUAUAUAUUUUUUUAAAAAUUUGUAUCCAGAUUUUUGUAGAAAAAAUUAAAAAAAACAUUUUUUUUCCGGAAAUCUGACCUUUUUUUUGAAAUUUCGUAAAAAAUUAAUUUUUUUUUCAAAUUUUUAAAUCUUGGAAAAGAUUUUAUAAAAAUUCUGGAAUAUUUUUUUUUCUUCUAAUUUUAAAAUCUGAAUUUUUUAUAUAUUUUUCCAGAUUUUUAAAAAUUAAAAUAUUUUCCAGAAUUUUGUAGGAAAAAAUUAAAAAAAUAAAUUUUAUCAAUUUUUUUAAUUUUGAAAAUGAUUUUUUAAAAAUUCUAAAAAAAAAAUAUGUAAUAUAUAUAUUUUUUCAUAUUUUAUAAAAAAUAUCAAUUUUUUAUAUUUUUGGCUUCAAAAAAAUCAGGUGUUAAUCAUUCAGCGUAGGCUACAAUAAACCUACAUGAUCCAACGGUUUCUAUUUGAAAAAUAGAUCAAACAGUUACAAACUAACGGAGAGGACCAAAAGAGGUAACGGCAGAAGACAUAAUGGACCAAAUUGAGACACUUUACAGUUAGGGGACCAAAAUGAAAUCCAAAAUAAGUUAAGGGACCAAAGCAUGUAUUAAGCCACUCAAAUAUAUAUCCUUUUGACCUAGACCCAAGCCCAAUCAGACAGCAGCGUCGCGCGUGAUAAAUAUUUUUUUUUAAGCGUUCACUCUAUUCACAAAAGUGUGUACCCGUACAUCUUUGGAAGUGAACCCCCUCUUAAUUAUAUAAAUGCUACCUGCAUGUUUUCUCUCCUAUAUGAAACAUUUUUUCAAUUCACACAACACUAGUUAUGGUGGGAAACAACAACUUCCCUUUCCCAUGCUAAACCUCACCUAAAUCAUGUUCUUCAAAUGAUCUAAUGGUCACAAAAUACUUUCUCAUGGUGGAAAACAACUUCCCUUUCCCAUGCUAAACCUCACCCUAGUUAUAUCCAAUAAGACUUUGUAUUAUUCUUCCAAUGUUCACUCAUUUAACUAGUGAACUCAAAUAAGUAUUUUGUUAAAACCGAGCAUAACACAAUUGCGACAAUUAAAAUGAGACUGAGAAUAUCGUUACUCGUUAAUUAAAAUUAGUUUUUGAGAGGACAUUAAAGAGAACUUCUAUGGUACACCUCACAACUCUUGCUUCAUAAAUUUAUAAAUUAACGAUUAUUUUAAAAAAUAAAUAGUUGUUUGUCAAUAUUUAUAUUUUAGAAAACAUCAUUUCACAAGAAAAAAAACGUCAUUUCAUUGUUUAUAAGAAUUAUAUUAAAUUUUUAACAUUUUCUCAUAAAAAAUAAUCAAUAUUCUUUGUUAUGAGUAAUAAAAAUUCAAAAAAAGUAAAUUUUAUUUCUUCGACACUUUUAGCAAAUAAGAUUUAAUUAUUAUAAUUGUCAAUGAUAGAACAUAAUUUUUUUCUUUAAAAAAUAACAACUCAUUUAAUUGUUAAUUUAAGAAUUUAGUGUACCAAUACACUCAAAAUUUUAGGUGUAACAACUUUAGUUGUACCAUAGAAUUUGCUGGACAUUAAUUAAAAUUAUUAAUUGCGCAAACAAAAUGCAUAACAUUACCCUAUAUCACAAAUUAUAAAUCGUUUUGAAUUUUUUUUUUCUCUCAAAUUAUAAACCAUCUUAUAAUAUAAAUAAAAAAUUAAUGUUAGUUUUCCUAUUGUACCAUUGACCUUUUAAUCAAGGUUUUACAACUCGAGAGUUUAUCUUAACUUAUUUUGCUUAGGUAAACUCGACUCGAUAACUCUUACGAGUUUACCUACAACUAAAAUUAUAUAAAAUUUAUUAUAUGCGCCAUGUAUAAGUUAAUAUAAUAUUGUAAAUAGGUCAAUAGUGCAAAAUAUGUCUUAAUUACAAAGGUAAAUUAUACCAAACUACCAUAAUAAAACGUUAUGCUACACUUAGCAUCAAAUUACAAAAAUUAACUCACAAAAUCAUAAGUUUCAUAAGUCUCUAAGUUUAAGCCAUCCAUAAAAACAUCCAAUAAAAAACAAGUUUCACAAGUUCCUAAAGUUGUUAAUAAAACGAGUAGUGAUAUUUGUACAACCAUAUAUGACAACUUUGAUGACAACUUUCAUUUUCUCUCUUCUCAUUGGCCAAAAAUAAUAGAGAGAAAAAAAUGAAGAGAGAAUAAGAAUAUAAUGUGAGUAUGAGAGAUAAAGUUGUCAAAAGGUUGUCAAAAAUUGGUUGUACAAAUAUCAUUUCUCUAAUAAAAUUAUCCAAAAAAUAAACUAAAUAAUUUCUUCAAAAGGUCAAUGCUUCUAAAGUUCCAUAACAUCAUUUUCAUCUAUGUCUUCAUCUCCAACAUCAUCAAAAUGAGCCCAAAAAAUUAUGUAAAUGUAAAGGUAAUUUCAUCUAAAGCCUUAGUUAUCGUAAAGGUAACUAUUCAGUAAAUGUUCUAGUCUUUAGGAUUGUAGAAAAUGAAUUUGGGUUUUGAAAAAAAUGGGCCAAAAAAAUGAGCGAAUUUUUUAUUUUUUUUAUUUUUAGAAGUAAACUCGUAAAACUCGAUCGAGUUUACACGAUUUUACCGAGUGUUAACUUGGUCAAACUUGUCAAACUUUUUGAUUUUACCACAAACCGAAUUUACCUCCGAGUUAACACGAUUUUGGUACAUAAAAACGUAAAUUUAAUAAACUCGGCGAGUUAACACUCGAUUUAUGAAACAUUGAUUUUAAUACUAUUUCCUUUGAUUAUUUAAUUUCUCUUCUAUAUACCAUUACAUUUCUUAAUUUGUUUAAAAUUGUCGAAACUAUUUAUAAUUUGUUUGUUUGUAUGAGGAGAGACGUGUGUUAAGACCACAUCCAUAUAUAAUCAUAUCAUAUGGUUUAUAUAAACCCUCAUCAUCCUCCCUCAAAAAAAAAAAAAAAACCCUCAUCAUCCUCAUGUUUUGUGUCACACACAUAUUCUUCCCCACAAAAGAGUAAAGUUGCACCAAACAUUUACGUAAAUAUAGAAACAUGGUUCAUAGUCCUCGUUACUCUCUGCAUCAUCUUCCUUAUCAGAGCCAUGCUCUCCUUCUUCACAACCACUGUACCCCUCCCUCCCGGCCCUCUACACAUCCCCAUCAUCACAAACUUCCAAUUGCUCCAAAAAUCAAUCUCCCAACUUGAACCUUUUCUCAAAACUCUCCAUGCCAAACAUGGUCCUAUCAUCAUUGUCCAUAUCGGUUCUCAACCUUCCAUUUUCAUCAACGACCAUGCUCUGGCUCACCAUGUUCUCGUUCAAAACUCAGCCAUAAUCUCUGAUCGCCCUACAGCUCUUCCUACUUCCAAAAUGUUGUCCAGCAACCAACACAACAUCAACACCGCUUUUUAUGGCCCAACAUGGCGUACCCUCCGUCGUAACCUUGCUUUCGAGAUGCUUCAUCCAUCCAAACUCAAAUCGUUCUCAGAAAUUCAGAAGUGGGUCUUACGCACUCUCAUCAACCGUCUCAAAACUGCAUCAGAAUCGGAACCAACGGAUUCUAUUAAGGUUAUGCCACACUUCAAAUAUGCUAUGUUCUCUUUACUUGUUUUUAUGUGUUUUGGUGAAAGAGUUAACGAUGAGAAAAUCAGUGAUAUUGAGCGUGUACAAAGGAAGAUUAUGUUAAAUUUUGGCAGAUUCAAUAAACUGAAUUUCUGGCCGAAAGUUACAAGGAUUUUGUCGCGUAACCAAUGGGAGGAGUUUUUGAAGUUACUUAAGGAUCAAGAGGAUGUUCUGCUUCCGCUGAUAAGAGCAAGGAAGCAAGUUAAGGAGAGUAAAUUGAACAAUGUUAAUACUGUUGUUUCAUAUGCAGAUACUCUUUUAGAGUUAGAGUAGCCUGAGGAGAAACGGAAGCUGAGUGAGAAUGAAAUGGUUAAUCUUUGUUCAGAGUUUUUGAACGGUGGGACAGACACUACUUCCACUAGUUUGGAGUGGAUUAUGGCGAAUGUGGUGAAGUACCCAGAAGUGAAGGGGAGGCUUGUGGAGGAGAUUCGGGAGGUGAUGGGUGGUGAUGAAAAUGGAGAGAAGGAGGAAGUGAAAGAGGAAGACUUGCAGAAACUUUGGUAUUUGAAGUGUGUGGUUUUGGAAGGGUUGAGGCGUCAUCCAUCGGGGAAAUUUCCGUUGCCACACGCGGUGAAAGAGGAUGUGGUUUUGGACGGUUAUUUGGUGCCUAAAAACGGGACGGUGAAUUUCUUUCUGGCGGAGAUGGCGUUGGAUCGUCGUGUUUGGGAGGACCCAUUGGAGUUUAAGCCAGAAAGGUUUUUGAAGGAUGAGACUUUUGUCAUUCCAGGAAGUAAAGAGAUAAAGAUGAUGCCGUUUGGAGCUGGAAGAAGAAUUUGUCCCGGACUUAAUUUAGCUUUGCUCCAUUUGGAAUAUUUUGUGGCUAAUUUGGUUUGGAAUUUCGAUUGGAAGGUUCCAGAGGGCGGGCAUGUUGAUUUGACGGAAAUACAAGAAUUCACUAUGGUGAUGAAAAAUCCAGUGCAAGUUCAUAUUUCUCCUAGGAUAUAGAUUAUGUGUGUUAUGUGUAACGAUGUGGAGUAUUUCUCCUAGUUCAUAUUUCUAAUUUUUUAAUACUUACAACAAGUAUCCUAAAGACACUCUUUAGUAUUUGACGAUUUGCCAUUCUCAAGUCUUCACUUGCAUCAGAUAUUGACUUCAUAUGCAAAUUAGAUAACACUGUUUUCAUUGAUCUUAUGGUUGUAUAGUGUGAUAUGCAAAGAUUGUGGAGGCCAAAUUGAACUUCUUAUUAGACAGGCAGAAGAUUAUAACACAGAGAAGGUUGUGGACGACUGGAGGUGACGUGACGUAUAUAAUUUACAAAUGAUUUUUAUAAUGAGCGUACUUGGAACACUCUUUAAAUAUUCUAAAAUACGAAUUAUUCUUUUAAGAAAAUCGAAUAUUUUGAUUUUUAAUACAUUGAAUACACGUAUUUUCAAUACUGCUUAUUAUAUAUGGUUUUUAGAGAGUGCUCCAUAACACUAGUAAACAUUUAUCUUUUUAAAAAGUAGGAAUAAAAAAAUUGAGUAAUCAGAAAAAUUGAUGACCAAUCAUAAGUGUGAAUAAAAAUAGAGCGAAUAGAUAAAUUGAUCCUCAAAAUUAUAAAACAUCUAUCAAAAUAGUCAUUGAUUUUUUUGCCACAAAUUCUUCCAUAACUCUUGUGGUUAUAAUUUGUAAAAAAAAAAAAAAAAACUUUUGUUGGUAUAAGGUAGGACCAGCAUUCUAUAUUGAGGCUGUAAGAAAAAAACAAAACAUUCUACAUUGAGGUGACAUUGACAAUGACGUAGAAACAACCUUCAAUUAUAUCACGUCACAGUAACAACAGAGAGAUCAUUUUUCAAAUGAAUGUCAUGGAAAAUUUCCAUUUCCAUUGGAAAUCAUACUAGAAAACAGAGAGAAAAUUAUUACCUGAUAGCAAUAUCACUUAGUUAGCUAUUGCUUGCUGCGCAAGUAACUGAGCUUAAUUAGGAUUAUAUUUCUCUUUAGUUUGUCCAUAGUAGUUUAUCAUGCAUCUAGAUUCUUGUAUAUAUACCGAUUGUAAGCUCUCAUUUGAUCAAUAACAAUUCAUUCUAUUCAAUCCACUUAGGUUGACUUGUUGGUAUUGGCUUGAGAUCUGGGAGUGUACUCCUCCUCCUCGAGGUCUCAGGUUCGAUUUUCUUCGGUGUCAAUUUGAGUGGGCUAAUUUGGCUUCUUCAAAAAAAAUAAAUUCAUUCUAUUCAUUUUACUUGGUUUCCGUAUAAAAAUAUCUCAUCUUGUAAUUGUGGUUCAAUAGAAAUUAGAUUGAAUGAAAAGACUUCAAGGAAAAUGCUCAUAUACAAGCAAUAGAAGAAAUCUGCUAUAACAUAUUCAGUUAGAGAUUACAGUUCAAAAGCCUAUCUAAUUAAUCAACUCCAAGUGUGUAACAGUUUUAGAAGAACACUUCUAUGGUCAAAACCCCAAAUAUAAUUCAUUCGCACAUUCACAAAACUUGAAAAAGGUACAAUAGAAAACAAUUGAAUAAAUCCUAAAAAAAAUUGAAUAUAUAAUGUGUAUUUUUGACAUAAUUAAAUAAAAUGUAUUGUUAUGUGUGUGUGGCCACAUAAUUUUUAUUUUGGCAUGUGAUCAUAGAAAUAUUUCUCACAAUUUUAAAUAACAUUUUACUAUUUAAGAGGUGUAUUUGUAAUACAAAAAAUAAUGAGCUAGUUUAAUAGAUUCCUACAAACCUAUCUAACUAGGACCACUCAUUUUUGUACACAAUAAGGACAGUACAGACAUAUUGUCGUGCCACAAAAGUAAUCCACUUCAGAUCAUAUAUUAUGGGUACUGUUUUGUCUAACCAAAAAGGACAAUAUUUAAUUUUGAAAAAACAUAUUUUAUUCUUAUUAAGAAUUUUGAAAUUUUAUUUCAAAGAUUUAUAUAUAACGAUAAAAUUAACAUAUUAACAAUUAUAAAAUAUUCAAAUGUCUAGAUGAAAUAAAUAAUUUUGUACUAUUUAGAUAAAAACAUUUUAAAUCAAAAUGACAUUUUUAUAGCUAUGAAUGAAAACAAUUUUUUUUUAAUGAAGUUAGUUAUCCACCAUUCAACUCAAAGAUUUUUAAUGUUAUGUACAUCUUCUGUUAAUGAAGUUAGUAUGAUGAUCUACAACUGCAAGUAACAUCCAAAGUCUUGUCCAUGGAACCAUUGAUAAUUAAUGUCAUCCCCCAUGAUUCCCACAACUUCAUGGUUUACACCAAAGAUGUAUUGUAUAACUAAAAUUUGUACAUUUGCCCCGAUGUCCAUGCUGGGUAAGUACUAAUGGAAAUAAAGUUUCAAUCUUUUUUGCAUUUUUGGUAUAGCAUGUGAGAAUAAACGACCAAUUUUGGGUUUGUUACAAUUUUGGACAUGUAAUCUUUGUUUUUGUGAAGUGUUGCCUUUUUUUGUUUCCCCCUUCUAUUAGUGUUGGUUAUAAUGUUGUUUUUUGUUUUGUAGGUUACUUGCUAUAUUUUGUGUGAUUAAUUUGUUAAACUAUUUGGAUCUAGGAGCAAUAGCUAGUGUUGUUUUAUGGAUUUAGAAAUAAUAUCUUGAAAAGAAAUUUACCAUCCAAGAGUUUAUCGAUCCGCUCUCUUUAAAAUAUUUCGUUUAAAUCUGAUCCAACGAAUUAUCUGAAAAUUUUCGAUUAUAUCCACUUGCACUUUUGGACUUUAACAUUUUCAGGUGAUAAAAAAUAUAUAUCUUUUUGACCCAGACCCAAGCCCGGUCAAACAACAGCGUCGCGCGUGAUAAAUAUAUUUUCUUGAGCGCUCACUGCAUUCACAAAAGUGUUUUCUCUCCUAUGUGAAACAUUCUUUCAAUUCCUACAACACUAGUUCUAUCCAAUGAGACUUUGUGUUACUCUUCCAUCUUGCACUCAUUAAUCUGGUGUUCAAACAACUAGCAAUGGUGUUAAUAAGGGAACAUGCACUGAAUAUGCUGCUGCUACUUGGACUUCUACUACAGGAAUACAGUAAGAUAUAAUGCAAUUAACACCUUCCUUUUUCAGAACAAGAAAUCAAGAACUCAUGGUUUAGAAAAAAGGUUUUACCUUUAAAAUUCAAUGCCAAAUGAAAAAGCACUCGUGCAAGAUAUCCUAAAAUUAUUGCAACAAGGGAAUAAGCAAAAUGGGGAUCAUCCUUGGUUACAACCAAGUUUUCGUCCAGGCUAGGCUCAAGUAAUCACAUUUGGGAAUAUUUGAGUUCAAAUCGUGGCUGAAGCAAUCCUUGGUGUUUUGUUCGAUGCCCAUAAAUCCAACGCCUUAAGAUUUUAUGCUAAGAUGUGGUGUCCACAACUCACUUGUAUGGUUGCUUUGGUGCCUACGUGGAUGAUCUUUGGGACUUCCCUCGUGAGCCAACACUUGACUAGACUUUACUCAUCUCUCAACCAAACUACAAUUAUUAGGACCUCUUUUCCUUAGAAACUAGAGGGAUAAGACCAAAAAUUAAUUAUUGUAAUUUUAAUGUAUCUAUUACCAGUCUAACGCACAUGCUAGAUAUUCUAGGUAAUUUCUAGAAUAAGUGUUACAAUAUUUAUCUCAAUACCUAAAAUGGCUACCAAGUUAUUUUUUUGACGGAAGGGUUUGGGAUGGUGGAAGGCUAUGAAUUUGAACUCCCUUUAUAACAUCACAGUAAAUUACAAAUGAGUUGACAAAGAACUUACUAACAAUCCCUUCCUUUUAGUUAUUAAAAAAAAAACACCUUUUAGAAUGUAACUAUUUUUUUUAGGGCCUAAUGAAUCUCUGGUUCUUUUUGUUGGGCCGAAAUUUCAUAUUAAUUUUUUGGGAUCUAGGAUGGUCGUCCUCCUUACCCUGCCUCAGAUACGGCCCUGAUGCGAUCUAGUCCCAAUUUUUUUUGUUUAGAUGUGGGGUACUUAUAACUUUGUUAAAUAUUGAGAUUGGGAUUACGCAGUAUUAGAAUUUCGGGGUUUAUGUUUGAUCAUGUUGGUGUUAAUAGAUUAAUUAGGCAAAAUUUGAGUGUCAUAUUACAAAUUUACAAUCGAAUGUUGAUGUUGGUAGCAACUUCUUAUGAAUCCAAACACAUCAAAAUUUUUGCGAUGCAGAAUGAGCUUAAGAAAGAAAAAAGAAAGCGAAGAGUAUUAAAUAAAAUUGCUGCAAAUUUGGAACAUGAUUGAAGUAAAAGAUACUUAACUGAAUAGACUUGAUAGCAGGUACGUCCAAGGAAAGAGCAAAGCAAAUGUAAUUUAUUCUGAUAAAAUAGAAACAAUGACGGUGCACCUAAACAAAUAGGGUCAAAUGCAUCUAAAAGUCCUUUAAGUUUUUUAUUUCUUCCAAAGUGGUCCUUUAAGUUUCAAAGGUCCCAAAUAAGUCCUUUUAGUUUUUGAAUUGUUUCAAACAAGUCUUAUUGUAGAUAGCAUAGUUGGUAAUUGUUUCCUUGAACUCAUCUUUGGUACCAAAUCUGGCUCCUAACACUCACUUAAAAUUAGUCAUCUUUUUAGGCAUGGUAAAUGGUGGAUAAUGCUAUUUGUUGUUAUCAUGUAAAUCAUCAUCAUCAUCCUCGAAAAGGACUUGUUUGAAACGAUUCAAAAACUAAAAGGAUUUGUUUGGGACUUUUGAAACUUAAAGGACCAUUUUGGGACUUUUGAAACUUAAAGACGACUUUGAGAAAAACGAAAAACUUAAAGGACCUUUAGAUACAUUUGACCAAACAAAUAGUAAUGUAGUAAUUUUAUUUUAAAUAGAUUCAAUGAAAGGAAUGAUAAUAGUGGGGAGCAGAUUCUUGAAAAGGAUGGAGAACGACUCAUCACCAACUAUUAUAUAUCAAGACAACAAUUGUAGUCAAAUUUGUUUAGUUGUUUUUGUGUUAGUGAAUUCUAGAGUCCUUUAUUAUAAGAAGAAAAACGAAUAAAAAAUAUCAAACCAAGACAAUAAUUAAUAGUUGCAACAUUUUGAAUGUUUUUAUAAUUAUACUUUCAUCGAAAUUUGUAAAAUAUUAAAUAUACUAUUAAUAUUAAAAAGAGAAAUAUUAAACGAAGGUUAAAAAGUCUUUUAACUAAUAAAUAUAUUUUAUAAGUUGUGACUUUUUUCUUUUAAACAUAAUUAAUUUUUUUCUUCUUCUUCUUAAUACCCGUGGGAGCAUUAUUUUUUGAAAAAUGCUAGGAUCCCACUUCCUAACACACUAUUUUAACACACACCAAUAAAAAUUAGCCAUCAUCUACUUUUUUAAUUUCUUUACAUGCUACCGGUUCAUUUUUGUAACCAAUUAAUUUAUCAUUUUAUUAUUAUUAUUAUUAUUAUUAUUAUUAUUAUUAUUAUUAUUAUUAUUAUCAUUAUUAUUAUUAUUUAUUUUAAAUUUUCAUCUCUCAACACUCAACUUCUCCACCAAAACCGUACAUGCUUCUCAUAUGCCAAAAAAAUAAUAUCAAAGUUGCUGCUUUUUGCUCAAAUUAAAUUGAAUGGAAAUGGAAAGUUGAUGGGAGUUGUAGCUUUUCAUGUUUCUGACCCAUCAAAAAUGAAGUUGUUGCACAAAUAUACCCGAAGAUUUUUUUUCCAUUGAAGCCUCAAAAGCCAAAACAUCGUAUAGAACAUAGAUCUGGAAAAUUUCAUCAACGGCCAAGUCAACGACGGCCACCGGAGCUUUCAACAAUGACGAUACGUUGGCAGUUAGUUAAUAGAGACGAGAUGCGGCAGAUUGAACCAUGAGAGAAAGAUGUGUACUAAUUGAAAUGAGAAGAUGCGAUCCACAUAUUGAAAGACGAUGAGAUUGCAAUUAAAUUCUAUAAAAAAAUAAAUAAGAAUUUUUAAACAACGUGUUAGACCGUUGAAUAGGUAAAGAGAUAAAGUAAGUUGAUGAGGUGGUUAAUUUUUAUUGGCAUGUGUUAGAGAAUGUGAUCCUAGCCUUUUUUAUUUAUUUUUUAUUUGUGCAGAAUGGAUGCUUGAGUCAAGAAGUGGUGAAAACUAAUAUGAUGUUAAUUGUGCUGUGUAUAUGCAUGCAUACAAUCUCUCAUACGGAGUGGAAUUUGAAACCACUUCAAAAAUAUAUCAUGGUUUUGUAUUUCUGUUUCUGUCUUGACCACUUAAUUCCCCUUAAAAAACAAUAAUGUCAAUUUUCAGCAAUAAAACAAUAAUGUCAAUUUGUAGUGUUUAUCUAGUGCACGAAUUGCGAAAAAGGUUACUGUGCUUCGGAUUUUGCAUUUCCACUUUAAAUGAAAAUGGGACAAGUUGGCAAUUAAAAUUAGUUUUUUGGGGAACUUCUAUGGUACACUCACAAUUUUGAGUGUACCGGUACUCUUGUUUCAUAAAAUAUAUAAAUUAAAGAUCACUUUAAUGAAAUAAAAAGGUAUUUGUCAAUAUUUAUAUUUUAGAAAACAUCAUUUCAUAAGAAAAACCAUCAUUUCAUUGUUUAUAAGGAUCAUAUUACAAAAUUUACAUUUUGUCAUAAAAAAUAAUUAAUAUUCAUUGUUAUGAGUAAUAAAAAUUCUUAAAAAUUAAAUUUUAUUUCGUCGAAGCUUUUGAUAUAUAAAAUUUAAUUAUCUUAGUUGUCAAUGAUAGAAAAUAAUUAUUUUUCUUCAAAAAAACAACUCAUUUAUUAUUAAUUUUAUGACUUGGUGUACCGAUACACCCAAAUUUAUUGGAUGUACCAUAAAAUAUGCCUAAUUAAAAUGAUUAAUUGCACAAACAAAAUGCAUCAAAUUACCUUAAAUCACAAAUUAUAAGUUGUUUUUAAGAAAAAAAUUAUCCCAAAUUUCCUAUUGUAUACCCUUGACUAUUUUUUUUUUUAACAAACGCUUGACUAUUUAAUAUUCUCUUUUCUUUCAAUUAUUUAAAUUUUUAUUCCUUAUGCCAUUAAGGAAAUAUAUUUUUGUAAAACUACAUAUAAUAUCAUUUUUUUUCAUAUAACAUUGACUAUAUUCUUAAAAAUAAUCAAAACUAUUUAUAAUUUGGAGGGGAAAGAUAAUUGUUUUGACAUUAUAAUAUUUAGGGGUCAUGAGUAGAAAUAAUUAUUUUCCCUAACUUCACUUUAAGAGUGUGUUUGGUUUAGGAGAGAAGUUGUGAAGAGAGAGUAUAGGAAGAGAUAAAUAGGUGAGAAAUAUAGUAGAUUUGACCUAUUGUUUGGUAUAAGAGAGAAAUGAAAGAAAUAGAGAAGAGAGAAGUGUGUUAAGCUUUUGAAAGGCCAAAAUAUCCCUACUAAACUUUAAUAUACAAUUUUAUUAUAUAUGAAUUAAUUUCUUAUAAAAAUUGAUAUAAUUUUUUACAUUAAUUUAAUUAAGAAACUAAUUAAUUUUUUUACAAAGAAAUUUGAUAACUUAUUUGCUUAAUUAAUUAAUUAUUUACAAUUUUACAAUUUAUUCCGUUAAACUAUUUCAUUAGUUAACUAACUACUAGUUUAACUUUAUUUAUUAUAAUAAAAGAGGAUUCAAAUAAAGAGUUAAAGGCAAGAGAGUUGCGUAUUAGUUUUUGUUUUUACCUACUACAACAAAAACCAUGAAAACAAUACAAUAGUGGUAACAAAAAAAAAAGGACAAUAGUUUUAUAUCAGCCACAAUAUCAGGGAUAGUUUUGGAAAUGCUUAAAUAUGUAUUUCAUCCUUGCAAUUAGGGUAGUUUAAAAAUUGGUCUAUGUAAUCGCUAAUUCUGGCAAUUUACCCUUGCAUUGUUUAAUCAUUUAAAAUUUCGUCCCUCUCCCCACUUAAUUAAUGCCACGUCACUAAUUUGAUGACGUGACAAUCACUGUCACACAUGAAAUUCCAAUUUUACCCCUGGGUUUCCAAUUCUUUCUUCAAUAUUGUGUCCUCUUCUUAAGGGCAAAAUUGGAAUUUCAUGUGUGGUAGUGAUUGUCACGUCAUCAAAUUAAUGAUGUGGCAGUGAUUAAGUUGGUCAAAAGAUGAAAUUUUAAGUGAUGGCAAAAUAGCACAAUUAGUCCCUUAACUUUAUUUUAGGUAACACUUUCGUCCUUUAUUUUUUUUUGUCACGAUUUAGUCCUUUAUGUUAUAAAAUGACAAUAUCUUAUCAUUUUUUAUGAGAUUUUUUUCAAAGAAAUUUGAUUUUCUAUGCUUGUAUGAUGAAGAUUUACGUUUGCCUAUGAGUUUGAUGAUUUUUUUUGGAGUUUUUGAUUAUUUUUUUCAUGAAAAAGGAUAACUAUGUUGUUAUUUUAUAACAUAAAAGACUAAAUCGUGACAAAAGAAGAUAAAGGACGAAAGUGUUACCUAAAAUAAAGUUAAGGGACUAAUUGUGUAAUUUUGCCUUAAAUGAUUAAUGAUUGCAAGACUAGUUUGCAACGAAUAGCGAAUACAUGAACCAAUUUUUAAACGACCCCUAAUUGGAAGGAUGAAAUACAUAUUUAAGCCUUUUGAAAAAGAGCAAAAAGUUCACAUCUCUACUCUAUUUCUUGGCAAUUCAAGAGAAAUAAAACAGGCAUGGGUCCCAUCAUAUUUGGACUCUCUCUUCAAUCUCUAUUCUCAACCAAACAUGAGAAGUUGUUUCUCUAUAUCCAACUUCUCUCUCCCCUCUUUCUCUCUUUCUUAUUUCUCUUCUACCAAGCAGAGUUAAAAUGAAAGUUAAAUGCUAACUUGUGGCAUCAAGGACACAUGUUAAGACAUUCAUUAUAAAAAUUAUGUAUUGAAAUUCGUGCAUUUAACUUCUUAGUAGUUAAAAUAUUAUGUUUUUCAAUGCAGAGUUAGCCGUGAAACCCCGAUACUUCAAAAUGGAUGACGUAUCGUAUCCCCUGCGUAUCUUGCACCGAUACUUGCUUGAUACUUCCUGAUACGUAUCAGAAGAGUAUCCGAAGAUUAAAUUUUAUUUUUUUAAAAAAUAAUUAUCCGAUACGUCCCGAUACGUAUCAGGAGAGUAUCCGAUAAUUAUCCUGGAUUGAUAUCUGCCCUGAUACUUCCCAAUUAAUGUUAACUAAAAUAACUUAACUAUUGAGUACUGAUGCAUUUUUUUAUGGAUAUAGUGCUUCUUUUUUGGAUUGAUAUAGUAUAACACUAACAAUGUUCCUUUUGGAUAUAGUAUAUCCAUGAUGUGCUCUUUUUGGGAUAUAUUUUCUAAUUAAUUGACUAAUCAUCAUUCUUUUAAUCGUCAAUAUUAUUUAUAUUAAUGUGGAUGUGCUACGAGCCUGACUGGUUUCUUUUAUUUGUUAAUAUAUUUGCAUAUUAAAAAAAAUGGUUAUAAUUAUAUUGUACAUUUUAUUAUAUAAUUUUUUUUAUUAACGUAUCCUAACCGUAUCAUAUCUUGAUUUUUGAAAUUUUUUCGUAUCGACGUAUCAAUGCAGUAUCGUAUCUCGUAUCCGAGCUUCAUAUAGAGUUAGUCAUAUGUGCUCUUAAGAUACAAGAUAACAUGACCCGGAAUGAAAUUUGUUUGUUUGUAUGAGAAGGAGAGACGUGUAACACCACAUCCAUAAAUUCAUAAUCAUAACACCACAUCCAUAAUCAUAUCAUGAUUCCUUUAUAUCAACCCUCACCAUUCUCAUUUUUUGUGUCACACACAUAUCCAUCGUCACAAAAGAGUAAAGUUGCACCAAACAUUUACGUAAAUAUGGAAACAUGGUUCAUCGUCCUCGUUACGCUAUGCAUCAUCUUCCUUAUCAGAGCCAUCCUCUCCUUCUUCACAACCACCGUACCCCUCCCUCCCGGCCCUCUACACAUCCCCAUCAUCACAAACUUCCAAUUGCUCCAAAAAUCAAUCUCCCAACUUGAACCUUUUCUCAAAACUCUCCAUGCCAAACAUGGUCCUAUCAUCACUGUCCAUAUCGGUUCUCGACCUUCCAUUUUCAUCAACGACCAUGCUCUGGCUCACCAUGUUCUCGUUCAAAACUCAGCCAUCUUCUCGGAUCGCCCCGUAGCUCUUCCUACUUCCAUAAUGUUGUCCAGCAACCAACACAACAUCAGCUCCGCUUUUUAUGGCCCAACAUGGCGUACCCUCCGUCGUAACCUUGCUUCCGAGAUGCUUCAUCCAUCCAAAACCAAAUCGUUCUCAGAAAUUCGGAAGUGGGUCUUACACACUCUCAUCAACCGUCUCAAAACUGCAUCG